UUCGCAAUGCCCGAAAGGGUGACGAAGCGACGCCGCGUGCGGGAAGAAGGCCUUCGGGUUGUAAACCGCUGUCGGGAGUUAAGAAAUGUAAGGAUGCUAAUAGCAUCUUUGCUUGACUAAGGCUCCGGAGGAAGCCACGGCUAACUCUGUGCCAGCAGCCGCGGUAAUACAGAGGCGGCAAGCGUUGUUCGGAAUUAUUGGGCGUAAAGAGCACGUAGGCGGCUAUGUAAGUCGGUUGUGAAAGCCUUCUGCUCAACGGGAGAACAGCAUCCGAUACUGCAUGGCUUGAGUGCGGGAGGGGAGAGUGGAACUUCUGUGGAGCGGUGAAAUGCGUAGAUAUCAGAAGGAACGCCGGCGGCGAAAGCGGCUCUCUGGCCCAUAACUGACGCUGAGUGUGCGAAAGCUAGGGGAGCAAACGGGAUUAGAUACCCCGGUAGUCCUAGCCGUAAACGAUGGGCACUAAGUAGAGGGGUUUU
This 476-nucleotide ribosomal RNA is filed under the name uncultured bacterium. Its description in RNAcentral is "bacterial SSU rRNA". It matches the Rfam family "Bacterial small subunit ribosomal RNA", at positions 365 to 832 of the family's 1533-position model. The record is from RNAcentral.